GCGUUAGGAAGGUAUUAGGCGACGUGCCCGCCUGCCUAAUAACCUAGCCCUAAUUGCUGUGUGUAACGUUUCCAGACCGUUUACCCUGCAACGUAUGGUGCAAAGUGCCGUAUUAAGACCUUUCCCUUAAGGAAAAGAAGAAGGAAAAAAGAAAAAAAAGGGGGAAAAAGAAAACAGGGUAAAGAGAAAAAGAUCAUGCAUAAACCUAAGCGUUUCACUGGAAGUAAAACGCGAGUUUAUCGCUUCCUUACAGAGAUGGAACCAAGGACAGCAAAUGCUGACGAGGAGAAGAGACGGACGAGCGUUUGCUUGCGGUUAAUACCGAAGGGACGGGAUGAAACAAGGAAGCCAGAAUGCAGCGGCCCCUCGAUAUCACCAGGAACUGCUACAGGAGGAGGCGUUCUGGCACGGGUAACUAGGGUAAGUAUCGCUAAUGACCGUUAGCAGUUAUUUCGGCCUCCCCGAGGCAGCGCUGAGGACUAAGUAACCUGAGGGGCUCUGGCCUGGGUUAGGGCAGAAGUGCAGGCAGGCGGGAUCAGGCAUUUUCCUCUCAGCUCUCCAAGCUGAAUCCUAGCCCUGAAGGAAAAAGCACUGGGGGGAGGCUACUCGGACACCUGCCACGUCGAGGGCAGGGGCAGGAGCUGACCCUUCCCCGACGGACGGACGGACGGACAGACGCUGGUGCGGCGGUGACUCUUUGGAUAUCGUAGGUAAGGGGAGGCACGCUGGUGCCGAGCUCCAGGGCGGUUUGCCUGAACACGAUGCCCGGGGCAGGAGGUUACGCAUUGUGUCCGGGGCUGGGAGCUGGUCCCCGAGUCCCAUGUACUUGGGAGUGCCUGCGCUUGCCAGGGAGCCCGGUGCUGUUCCCAGAGCUGCGGGGAAUUUCCCUUGCGUUGCCUGGACCCUCGGGGCUCUUGGGGGUGUUUCCCCUCAUCGCAAGGGCAGCCAGAGCCCCUCCAGGGCUGCGUGAGGUCCCCGAACCACUCCCGGAUUUGCUUUUGGCACUCCGCAGUGUCGCUCGUGUGCCUGGGGCAGCCUGCAGGCGCCAUCCUGUCAGCCGCGUUGAGCCCUGCGGCGUGCCUGGUGACCCCUCUGGUGUGCGCCAAGGCCCUUCCUCUGUAUUUUGGUCUGCCCCAGAGCCCUGCACUUGCCCUCUGAUGCCCUCAGGACCCCUCAGUUCACAUUCUGGGUUGCCCCCGAGCCCUCUGCGUGCCUUUCGGUGCGCCCCGUGGCCCCGUGUGUGUUUUGCGGCACGCCGCAGAGGUCUCUGUUUAGCUUUUUCUCCUGUCCUGGAGUUUUCUGGGUGCUUCUGGGUGUGCCCCAGGGCCCUCCUUUUGGUGCCCCCAGAGUCACUCUGUUUGCUCUAUUAUUGUUUUUUUUUUUUUUUUUUUUCUUGACUUGUGUUGCACCCAGAGCUCUCGAUUUGUUCUCUUGUGCUCCGCAUACUCCCCUUUCCGCACUCUACACCCCAGGCAGGGCUCUCCCUUCAGCUCUCAGCAAGCUGCUGUCAGGAGAGUGGGGGUGCCUCUGCUGCCCUGGCAGCCCCAGCUGUCCCUGAAGGGGCUGAUGGCCAGGCCCCCUGCCCAGUUCCUGCAGGCCCACAGCUGCGGGCCCUGGGGCUGGGAUGAAUGCCAGGGGGAGCUGGGUGGCAGGACAGGCCCCAGAAUUUGCUUUGGCUGUUUGUAUUUUGCGUUGUUACUGCACGCGCGUACGUGGAAAGGGAAAGACAGAACGAAUGCUCUCUUAGAUUAAUUGCCACGGCUGAGGUUGAAGAGAGUAAAAAACGUGAGCAAGCUGAAGUAAUAGAAUCCAAGGGAGCCAAGUGAAAGCUGUCUUCCUCUGCCAGAAAAAGGGAAAGCCCGUUCCUCCUGGCAAGGAAGGAGCGCCAUUAAUAGCGAUCCGAAUAAUAGAUCGCCAGCGUAUAACGGAAGGUCUGUAUGCAUUACGAGAAGUGCUGUGCGUACAUGUGUCUCCAUGUGUGUGACUUUACGUGCCUGUGAAGCAUCAUGCUUCACGAGCUGCGAGACAGCAAAUUAUUAUCUUGGGGGAGUGGUGGUCAAGUGACCAGAGCUACUGAAGAGGAAGGGAGCGAGAGAAGGGUCUGAAGUGUAAAACUGAGAGAUCGAUUUCAGGAAGGCUUAAUCAGCGCAAGCCCCGGGUUAGUUACCUGGCAAUGGUAUUUGGGGAGACGGGAUGACAGUAGAUAGGUUGAAGCCUCAUGGAAUUAAGGCUCCUUCUCACCAGUUCCCGCUUAGAGCAAUUGUAGGAGGAUUUAGUUUCCUCCAGCAGCAUUAAGGUGGCUUUGCCGGUGUCAGCAGACCACGGUGGAAAGUACUGGGAGGGAGUCGGAAAGGGAGCUGGGAUGAGGAACGUGACUCUGCUUUCACUGAACUGGAAGAAGUGGCUAUAAAACCUCCUGCCCUCAAAUUCCCAGGACAAGGAAAGCCUUUUUCGGUAAUGCUUUCCACAUCUGCUGACUGCGUGGGAGCAGCACCACUAGAAAACGGCAGUAAAGGAAAGCGGGUGCCAGUCGCCUCACCUUUACGUCCCCUUUGGGGGUGGAACAAAAAGUCUCUGGCUGUGAGAAAGACUGUUCAGCAGCGAUGUGGGCUGUAACCGUCUUUGAGACUUUUAGCUUUGAUCGCGCAGGGGCCAUCCAAUCUAUUCAGUUCUCUCUAAAGUAAUCACGUCAGGGAAAUGAAGAGACAGCGGAGUAUCAUCUAUCCGAGUGGCGCAGUGGGCGCUGAUCUUAACGAGCGGGGGCAGGGGGGCAGUUGCUGUGCAAGUGUUACAAGCAGUGGCUCUUCUUGUGCGCGUCUGAAUUGACUGAGGGGCAGAGCACGGUUGCGCCAAAAACGCGGACGCAGGAGGUUUCCGAGAGGUUGAUCUCUAGCGGCUACUUAGUCUGACUUCCCUUUCGCGGCAAGCCCGACUGUCUUCAUAGCUCUCAGAACAGGGGUUAGGGGAAGCGGUACUUGUGGCUUGCGUAUUCUUGUUUACCUUGCUUGAGUGUGUAUAUUGGAUCCACUUUUGUGCUUAUAAACAACUUUGGAUUCUUAUGAUUUUCUGCAGAGCUUUGAUCUUUUUCUUUUUUUCUUUUUCUUCUUGGUUUGUUUUUUUUUUUUUUGCUUUGCUCCCUCCCUGAUGGAUUUUACUACGCCUCCGUCAACGAGCCCUGGCUGGCAAAGUUGCUGUGUCCCAGCGGAGACUCUUAGGCGAGAUGGAGGAGUUCAGAUCCGCAGCCUGCCAGAAGAACGUCGCCCAGGAGGGGUUGCUAGCCUCGAGCUAUAGGCGCUGGCGUUCAGGACCUCGGGGAACGACUGUGUGCUGCCGUGAAGAACUACAGGCUACCACCGCUCUCGGACCUUUGUAAGUUAUCACGCGUCGAGAGCUUCCAGGAGAAUUCAAAUGCCAGCAGAAAGGUUCUCCGCCCGGUCCCGACGAGGAGGCUUCGGCCACAGGAAGGUCGUCAGCGUCCUUACCGGACUCGCGGGAUGCUGUUCUGAGGGCCAGCAACUCGAAGGGAUGCAGCUCGGCCCUUUUUGUUGACUUUGGUGAUGCUGUUUUGAGGAAGCAUGUAAGUACAGAAGGGGUCUGGGAGGGUUUUCAAACAAGACGGGAAAGAGCAAGGAAGAUUUGAGAGCGUGGAAAAACUAGGUGCCGCGGGUACUGAAGUUGUUACGGGCUGAGGGCGUUUGGCGUUGAGCAUCUGAGAGGGGCUAAUGCACGAGGAACGGUAAAAUGCUGUGACUGAACGCGAGGUUCCUCCCCGGCCUGGGCCCGUGUGUGCACCCUCGCUCCCACAGACACCCCGGAGCCGUAGGGAAACGGGUGAGCAGGCCCACGAGCGGACUUUGGGCACAGCGGUGCGCAGAGAGCGCUGCGGGCUCAGCCGGUGGGGUGGAGUCGGAGCAUGGCGAGCCAGGCUGUCGGGAUCCAUCCGGUUCCGCUCCCUGCCCCUCUGUCCAGCGCUCCAUCCUUCUCUUUCUUUCCCCGUGGCUCUGUCCAGUGCCCCAUCCCUUUGUUUAGCUACUCGUUCCUCUGCCCAGCUCCCCCAUCCCUCUUGUACUCUUUCCAUCUCUGUGACAAUAUCUGCGUCCAUCUAACUGGCUCUCUAUCGCUCUAUCCAGCUCUUCAUCGUCCUCUUCCUCUUCCUAUCCCAGUACCUGCCCGCUGUCCUUCCGUGCGGCUCCCCAUCCGUCUGCCGCUCUCGUCUGCCUUUCUGCCUGUACUUCUCUUUGCCUUCCCAGCCCUCUGUCCACCCCUCCAGCCAUCUCUCUCUAUUUCCAUCCCUCUGCUCAGCUCCUCAUCCAUCUAUUUGCCUCCCUAUCCCUCUUUUCCCCUGUUUUGUCCCAUCUCUCUGUCUGAAUUGCCCUCCCUCUUUUUCUCUCUCCACCUUUCUGGCCAGCUCUUCGUCGUUCUCGUCCUCUUCCCAUCGCUCCUACUGGCUCCCUGUCCCUCUCUUCCUGUCCCCGUUCCUCUCUCUGGUUCUCCCCCCUUCUCUGUUGCUCCCUUGCCGUUCCUCUGGCCGUCUCGCCUUCCCCAUUUUUCUCUCUUCUGCUCCCCGGUCCUCUGUGCAGCCCUCCCUCCAUCUGUGUGGCCCUCUGUCCCUCUCUUUCUCUUCCUUUGUCCAGUGCCCAGACCCUGGGGCCGGCUCUCUGUCCCUCUCUUUCUUUCUCCCUCCAUCCAUCUGCCAAGCUCUCUGCCCCUCUUUUCUUUUGUUCUCCCCCCUGUCCCCGCGUCCAGGUGGAGGUCUGUUGUUCCUUUGCGUUUUGUCUGGUGCGGCGGGUGGCGAGAGGUGGUCGGCGCUCGGCAGAGAUGGUGAUCGGCAGCGCCCGGAGGGUGCCGUCGGUCUGGUUCGGGUCACGUCGGACACCUCCGCGGGGACUCUGCCCGCGGAGGCGCGGGGCUGUGGCUGUGCAGCGGGGGAGCGCUAGCGGGCUAGAGAUGCCGUGGGGUACGCGGCAGGCAGCGAAGAGGCUCCUGGGGAAGGUGUCACGGAGGCAGAGAGCAGCAGAGGCUCCGAGACCUUGGGCGUUAGGACAGGCGCUCGCGGUAGGGCGGUCUGGAGCUGCUGCUGCUGUCUGUCCUACUCGUCAGCGCGGUCUGCAGUUACUGCCUCUUGUCUGCCUGCGCGCAGCCAGGGCUGUCACGUGGUGCAGCUUGAGUUGUGAUUGCGAUGCUGGCAUUGAGCCCACUUUUCUGUCAGGUCUGCCUUUAUGCAAAGUGGUGUCUUCCCUAUGUCUACAGCUCAACCCAUGUUGUUGAUUUAGUGCUUCCUGAGGGGAUAUGCUGUGCUGUCAACACGCACACCCACCACACCCCUGCCAUCGCUUCCUGAUGAAUGCAGUCAUUUACAUAGCUUCUGGCUUGUUUCUUUCCUUGGAACUCCUUUCUCUUUGCUGUUCUGGUCCCUCCAAACAAUUUCUGUUUCUAGCAUUAUUAGUGUUGGGCCCUAAACCUUCUAGACCUUCCUUCUUUGAAGUCCAGAGGUUCCAGUAUUGUUUGUACUUUGAGAGUAAAGGUCCUUCACAACUCAUGUCUUAAGUAUGCAACUGCCUUACCUGGGAUUUUCGUUUUCGCAAGUUACUGUUUCUUUCAGGAGCCAGCUACAACAGUAACUUUGCUAUAGCAGAGAAAUGGGGUUACAUGUGUAUGAGCAACAGCACCGUAGUACACAGCAAAGCCAUAAUCUACAGUACUGGUAGCACAAGUCAGUUUCCCAUCAGCUCCAUCUCUCCAGGGUUUGGAGGUUUUGGAGGCCUUACUUUUUAUCCUGCCUUGGCUGGACGGUGCUUUCUGAGAGUGUCCAUCAGAGGCAGAGUUUCCCUGCGGAGGACCAUCUAGCAAAGGCUGGAGGCGGCCGGGUGCCUGAGCGAGCCUGCCUGUCCGUGAGAGCUGCUGUGACAACUUUGUGAUGAAAUGGAGCCAGAGAGGGUGACUGAAGCAGCACGGAGGGUCAGUCAUAACUGUGGGAACAAUUACGGGCCUUGGACUAGGGAGUAGUUCUAGGAGGGCUGUGCAGUUGCCCGGCCUCUAACUAACUGCUCUGGCCUCUUUGCAGGUGCCGAAGCCCAGUCGGGCAGUCGAAGGAGCCUUGUCACAGCUGGGAGCUCUGCGGAGAUGCGCGGCUGGCCAUGGAGAGUGAGCUCUGACUUGCAGCGUGGACACAGCUAAGUCCUGGGCUGCAUCAUAUGUGAGCAGUGCUGGGAGGUGCGAGGUGAUUGUUCCCUAGGUGGUCACUGGUGUCACUGGCUGUGGAUGUUUGCCCAUGGAGCUGAGAGGACCAAAAAUAUUAAUUGUCUGACCCGGAGAUGAAUUAGUGCUUGCAGUGCUUCAGGAAAAAGCAGAGGAGUAGGCUGUCAGCUACUCGGACACCUGCCACAUCAAGGGCAGCAGCAGGAGAUGACCCUUCCCUGAUGGAUGGAUGGACGCUGGUGUAGUGAUGACUCUUCAGGCAUCACAGGUAAGGGGAAGCAUGCUGACACUGAGCUCCAUGGCAGACUUGCUUCCAGCUAUUGUUUCUGCGCAGUAAAACAAUAAACAGUUGCUUUAUUCUUUGCA
RNA transcript from Dromaius novaehollandiae (emu), 6564 nucleotides. RefSeq lists it as uncharacterized. NCBI's taxonomy places the organism in Eukaryota, Metazoa, Chordata, Aves, Casuariiformes, Dromaiidae. The transcript has 4 exons. The record is from RefSeq and is a predicted model, not a curated record.